RNAcentral lists this ribosomal RNA (261 nucleotides) under uncultured bacterium. Its description in RNAcentral is "partial 16S ribosomal RNA". It matches the Rfam family "Bacterial small subunit ribosomal RNA", at positions 95 to 354 of the family's 1533-position model. The record is from RNAcentral.
UUGGCGGACGGGUGAGUAACGCGUGGGGGAACCUGCCUUGCACCGGGGGAUAACACUUAGAAAUAGGUGCUAAUACCGCAUAAGCGCACAGAGCCGCAUGGCUCGGUGUGAAAAACUCCCGGUGGUGCAAGAUGGACCCGCGUCUGAUUAGCUGGUUGGCGGGGUAACGGCCCACCAAGGCGACGAUCAGUAGCCGGCCUGAGAGGGUGAACGGCCACAUUGGGACUGAGACACGGCCCAAACUCCUACGGGAGGCAGCAG